CCUACGGGUGGCAGCAGUGGGGAAUAUUGGACAAUGGGGGAAACCCUGAUCCAGCGACGCCGCGUGAGGGAAGAAGGAUUUCGGUACGUAAAGCUCUAUCAGCAGGGAAGAAAAGGACGGUACGUGACUAAGAUGCCACGGCUAACUACGUUCCAGAAGCGGCGAUAAUACGUCGGGAGCCAGCGUUAUACGGAUGUACUGGGUGUAAAGGGGGCGUAGACGGCAGCGCAAGUCUGGAGUGAAAUGCCGGGGCCCAACCCCGGAAGUGCGCGGGAAACUGGGAAGCUGGAGUGCGCGAGAGGUAGGCGGAAUUCGUGGUGUUGCGGUGAAAUGCGUAGAUAUCACGAGGAACCCCGACGGCGAAGGCAGCUUACUGCACUGUAACUGACGCUGAGGCUCGAAGGCGUGGGGAGCAAACAGGAUUAGAUACCCUGGUAGUC
This 440-nucleotide ribosomal RNA is filed under the name uncultured bacterium. RNAcentral describes it as "partial 16S ribosomal RNA". It matches the Rfam family "Bacterial small subunit ribosomal RNA", at positions 338 to 795 of the family's 1533-position model. The record is from RNAcentral.